UCUGCGCUCUCAGCCACCCACAUCCUCCCUAGGGAAGGAAAUGUCUGAGGAUUGCAUCAUGCUGUUGUUUUAACUAAUUUCUCUUUGUAGAAAAUCGAAUUCAACAGAAACAGAAGCAGCCCAAGCGACUGCUUCUUCUGUGAGGGCUUGGAGAUCACCUUGAUGAGGCGACUAUGGAAGGUACCCAGCUCUCGGCCUCCUCGCAGCACAAGCCGCAGCACUAGACGGAAGUGCUUCCUCUUGUCGGCGUCAGAGAUGUACAGGGUCUUGGCACAACCAAAUUCCUACGGGGCUCAUGGGGAUGGGACCCGUGUUAUCUCAACUCUGCCGGCGCAUGCGCCAACCUUCCGCAGUUAUGACAUCCAUCUCAUCAGAGAUGACAAGAAGCCGUACUAGCUAGGUUCUGGAUCAGACCCCCCCCCCCACACACACUCUGGUCUCCCCCCUAGUCUCUUGGCUUCUGGAGAGGAAUCAGAGUCCUCCUUUGUAAAGAAGAGGCAGGGCUGGGGACAGGAAUUGGAUGCUCUGUCAUGUAGUCUCACCCUUGAGUCCGGCUGUUCUUCGAAAUUCAACUUCUGCGUCUCGGGAGCGCUGCCGGACGCACCGUCCAGUCCCAUGUAGCCGCAGACGGUGGGCCCGGUCUCCGCAGACUGGUGGGCUAGAAAAUGACCGGAAUUAACCUUGAAAGGACUGGGGAGACUCAGGGGCCAGUCAAACUCAGCUCUUGCCGCCAGAGGGCGCAACGAGACUGCUCCUGCAAACGGCUGGAUUCCCGGCCCAGCUGAAUUAGUUGGUCCUUCCUUCCUGCAGAGAACAGCCCCUGUGUGUGCUUCUCACCUUGGUCUUGCACUGGCUUUACCCUCCAGCCUGGACCGGCGAGGUAGACACAGGGCGGAGGACAGAAGAACCUGGGAACACGCAGAGAGCUGGAUAUAUCGUUUUCAUUGUCUUGAAAGUGUCUCAAAGAGACAUAAACCCAAGGACUGGUGAUUUUCCCCUCCUCUCCUAGUUGAGUGAAUCCUGCUAACACAGAACAUUCUCUUGCUUAUUAAAACCCCGUAAGUCCUGCCCACUCUUCAAAA
Molecule: long non-coding RNA, 1082 nt
Organism: Mesocricetus auratus (golden hamster)
Lineage: Eukaryota; Metazoa; Chordata; Mammalia; Rodentia; Cricetidae
Exons: 2
Source: RefSeq, a predicted model, not a curated record